AUUCCAGCUCCAUUAGCGUAUAUUAAAGUUGUUGCAGUUAAAAAGCUCGUAGUUGGAUUUGUGGUUGGAGCGGUCGGCCCGACACUCUGUGUGGGUGCUUGACUGUCUCCGUCCAUCCUUGGGUGGAAUCUGUGUGGCAUUAAGUUGUCGUGCAGGGGAUGCCCAUCUUUUACUGUGAAAAAAUUAGAGUGUUCAAAGCAGGCUUACGCCGUUGAAUAUAUUAGCAUGGAAUAAUGAGAUAGGACCUUGGUACUAUUUUGUUGGUUUGCGCACCGAGGUAAUGAUUAAUAGGAACAGUUGGGGCCGUUCGUAUUCCAUUGUCAGAGGUGAAAUUCUUGGAUUUCUGGAAGACGAACUACUGCGAAAGCAUUCGGCAAGGAUGUUUUCAUCA
This 391-nucleotide ribosomal RNA is filed under the name Bacillariophyta sp. RNAcentral describes it as "partial small subunit ribosomal RNA". It matches the Rfam family "Eukaryotic small subunit ribosomal RNA", at positions 582 to 975 of the family's 1831-position model. Lineage: Eukaryota; Bacillariophyta. The record is from RNAcentral.